Mycena latifolia is the source of this 96-nucleotide non-coding RNA. The record is from the annotation of a GenBank genome assembly. NCBI's taxonomy places the organism in Eukaryota, Fungi, Basidiomycota, Agaricomycetes, Agaricales, Mycenaceae.
GGCCUGGUAGCACAACGGCUAGUGCGUCUGCAUGCUGUGGAAUUUACUCGCCUUAUGUUUCUGCAGAGGAUCUCCGUUCGACUCGGGGUCAGGUCU